RNAcentral lists this ribosomal RNA (370 nucleotides) under uncultured bacterium. Its description in RNAcentral is "bacterial SSU rRNA". It matches the Rfam family "Bacterial small subunit ribosomal RNA", at positions 369 to 758 of the family's 1533-position model. The record is from RNAcentral.
AAAAGGGAGAAACUCUGAUCCGCCUGCCGCGUGAGUGAUGAAGGCCUUCGGGUUGUAAAGCUCUUUGAUUGGAGACAAUAAUGAUGGUAUCCAAAGAACAAGCCCCGGCUAACUCUGUGCCAGCAGCCGCGGUAAUACAGAGGGGGCUAGCGUUGUUCGGAAUCACUGGGCGUAAAGCGUGCGUAGGCGGCCUAAUAAGUCAGAAGUGAAAGCCCAAGGCUUAACCUUGGAAUCGCUCUUGAUACUGCUAGGCUUGAAGGUGGUAGAGGAUAGUGGAAUCCUUAGUGUAGGAGCGAAAUCCGUAGAUAUUAAGAGGAACACCAGUGGCGAAGGCGACUAUCUGGACCAUUCUUGACGCUGAGGUACGAAA